GACGGAGGUUGCUAGCGUUGUUCGGAAUCACUGGGCGUAAAGGGCGCGUAGGCGGUCAUUCAAGUCGAGUGUGAAAGCCCGGGGCUCAACCUCGGAACUGCAUUCGAUACUGGAUGGCUUGAGGCCGGAAGAGGAGAGUGGAAUACCCAGUGUAGAGGUGAAAUUCGUAGAUAUUGGGUGGAACACAAGUGGCGAAAGCGGCUCUCUGGUCCGGUCCUGACGCUGAGGCGCGAAAGCGUGGGUAGCAAACAGG
RNAcentral lists this ribosomal RNA (253 nucleotides) under uncultured bacterium. RNAcentral's name for it is "partial 16S ribosomal RNA". It matches the Rfam family "Bacterial small subunit ribosomal RNA", at positions 524 to 776 of the family's 1533-position model. The record is from RNAcentral.